RNAcentral lists this ribosomal RNA (254 nucleotides) under uncultured bacterium. RNAcentral's name for it is "partial 16S ribosomal RNA". It matches the Rfam family "Bacterial small subunit ribosomal RNA", at positions 524 to 776 of the family's 1533-position model. The record is from RNAcentral.
UACGAAGGGGGGCUAGCGUUGCUCGGAAUUACUGGGCGUAAAGGGAGCGUAGGCGGAUAGUUUAGUCAGAGGUGAAAGCCCAGGGCUCAACCUUGGAAUUGCCUUUGAUACUGGCUAUCUUGAGUACGGAAGAGGUAUGUGGAACUCCGAGUGUAGAGGUGAAAUUCGUAGAUAUUCGGAAGAACACCAGUGGCGAAGGCGACAUACUGGUCCGUUACUGACGCUGAGGCUCGAAAGCGUGGGGAGCAAACAGG